ACAAUUUUAGAGUUGAUUUGAGAAGUGCAAUCAUAGACAUAUCCUAUUUGGGGAGCUGAAGAAAUGGCGGAGAUAGAGACCGUUACUCUUGCAGCACACCAUGCAGCAAGGUGGGAUGUUGACACUGCACUUCCAGAUGUUUUCGCGGUUGCAGUCGGGUCUAAACGGUUCAACUUGAAUUGCAGACCUCAAGGAGGCAGGUAUUGCAUCUGUGGCGAUAAGAACUGGAGCUCUUUUGUUAAAUCAAAUUUGGGAGCAGUGGUUACUCUUUAUGCCAGAGAAGAGGGUGAGGACUUCCACAACCUACAAGUGACGGGGGGCCGGAAGGGAAGAGCUUGAUAAGCGUCUACAAAGCUUCAUAUUAAUAUAUAUUAACUAAGUUUUUAUUUUUGCUUUAUUUUCUUUUUUAUUUCUGAGGAAAUGCUAGGCUCACUCUUUAUGCUCAACAAGACGGUGAGAACUUCCACAGAAUGAAGGUGAUAAUGAGGACAACUAGAGAGCUUAUUUAUGUAAGGGUGUAGG
Molecule: long non-coding RNA, 522 nt
Filed under: Gossypium raimondii (Peruvian cotton)
Lineage: Eukaryota; Viridiplantae; Streptophyta; Magnoliopsida; Malvales; Malvaceae
Description: long non-coding RNA (GRAI_LNC010190)
Source: RNAcentral